Chytriomyces cf. hyalinus JEL632 is the source of this 73-nucleotide non-coding RNA. The record is from the annotation of a GenBank genome assembly. Lineage: Eukaryota; Fungi; Chytridiomycota; Chytridiomycetes; Chytridiales; Chytriomycetaceae.
GGUUUCUUAGUGUAGUGGUUAUCACGUGUCCUUCACACGGACAAGGUCGCGAGUUCGAACCUCGCAGAAACCA